RNAcentral lists this ribosomal RNA (460 nucleotides) under uncultured Anaplasma sp. Its description in RNAcentral is "bacterial SSU rRNA". It matches the Rfam family "Bacterial small subunit ribosomal RNA", at positions 93 to 588 of the family's 1533-position model. Lineage: Bacteria; Pseudomonadati; Pseudomonadota; Alphaproteobacteria; Rickettsiales; Anaplasmataceae. The record is from RNAcentral.
UAGUGGCAGACGGGUGAGUAAUGCAUAGGAAUCUGCCCAGUAGUAUGGGAUAGCCACUAGAAAUGGUGGGUAAUACUGUAUACGCCCUGCGGGGGAAAGAUUUAUCGCUACUGGAUGAGCCUAUGUUAGAUUAGCUAGUUGGUAGGGUAAAGGCCUACCAAGGCAGUGAUCUAUAGCUGGUCUGAGAGGAUGAUCAGCCACACUGGAACUGAGAUACGGUCCAGACUCCUACGGGAGGCAGCAGUGGGGAAUAUUGGACAAUGGGCGCAAGCCUGAUCCAGCUAUGCCGCGUGAGUGAGGAAGGCCUUAGGGUUGUAAAACUCUUUCAGCGGGGAAGAUAAUGACGGUACCCGCAGAAGAAGUCCCGGCAAACUCCGUGCCAGCAGCCGCGGUAAUACGGAGGGGGCAAGCGUUGUUCGGAAUUAUUGGGCGUAAAGGGCAUGUAGGCGGUUUGGUGAGU